RNAcentral lists this unclassified non-coding RNA (352 nucleotides) under soil metagenome. RNAcentral's name for it is "partial contains 5.8S ribosomal RNA, internal transcribed spacer 2, and large subunit ribosomal RNA". The stretch from base 1 to 120 matches the Rfam family "5.8S ribosomal RNA", at positions 35 to 154 of the family's 154-position model. The record is from RNAcentral.
GAUGAAGAACGUAGCGAAAUGCGAUAAGUAAUGUGAAUUGCAGAAUUCAGUGAAUCAUCGAAUCUUUGAACGCACAUUGCGCCCGCCAGUAUUCUGGCGGGCAUGCCUGUUCGAGCGUCAUUACAACCCUCAGGCCCCCGGGCCUGGCGUUGGGGAUCGGCGGAGCCCCCCGUGGGCACACGCCGUCCCCCAAAUACAGUGGCGGUCCCGCCGCAGCUUCCAUCGCGUAGUAGCUAACACCUCGCGACUGGAGAGCGGCGCGGCCACGCCGUAAAACACCCAACUCUUCUGAAGUUGACCUCGAAUCAGGUAGGAAUACCCGCUGAACUUAAGCAUAUCAGUAAGCGGAGGA